RNAcentral lists this ribosomal RNA (486 nucleotides) under uncultured bacterium. RNAcentral's name for it is "partial 16S ribosomal RNA". It matches the Rfam family "Bacterial small subunit ribosomal RNA", at positions 28 to 507 of the family's 1533-position model. The record is from RNAcentral.
GAUGAACGCUGGCGGCGUGCCUAAUACAUGCAAGUCGAACGCUGGAAAUCUAGCUUGCUAGAUUGAAGGAGUGGCGAACGGGUGAGUAAUACAUAAGCAACCUACCCACGAAGACUGGGAUAAUCUCUGGAAACGGGGACUAAUACCGGAUAGGUAAUCGGAAGGCAUCUUCUGAUUAUUAAAGGUUAAAAACACUGGUGGAUGGGCUUAUGGCGCAUUAGUUAGUUGGUGAGGUAACGGCCCACCAAGACGAUGAUGCGUAGCCGGCCUGAGAGGGUGAACGGCCACAUUGGGACUGAGACACGGCCCAGACUCCUACAGGAGGCAGCAGUAGGGAAUUUUCGGCAAUGGGGGAAACCCUGACCGAGCAACGCCGCGUGAGUGAUGACGGCCUUCGGGUUGUAAAGCUCUGUUGUAAGGGAAGAACGGUAGAUAGAGAAUAUCUAAAUGACGGUACCUUACCAGAAAGCCACGGCUAACUACGUG